GGCCUCCUGGUGCUGACCAUUGGCUGUAUCCUUACACUGUGUUGAAGGAGGAGGCAGAGUAAACCCACCCCAUAUACACCUCAGCCCAGGCGCUUUGCCUGAUCUGUAGUGUGAAUGGGGGGAUAGGA
This is a small nucleolar RNA of Manis pentadactyla (Chinese pangolin), 128 nucleotides long. RefSeq annotates it as small nucleolar RNA SNORA51. The record is from RefSeq and is a predicted model, not a curated record. NCBI's taxonomy places the organism in Eukaryota, Metazoa, Chordata, Mammalia, Pholidota, Manidae. The transcript has a single exon.